This 743-nucleotide long non-coding RNA is filed under the name Homo sapiens (human). RNAcentral describes it as "HSALNT0341389". Lineage: Eukaryota; Metazoa; Chordata; Mammalia; Primates; Hominidae. The record is from RNAcentral.
AUCCACCAACUCGUGGACAAACUGUACCACUUCCUCAUGCCAGGGCACGUGGGCCAUGGAUGGCCGUAUAAGAAAAUAAACAACUUGCUAAAACUGCUGAAACUCCCUCUGCUUGUGAGAUUUAAAAAAACUGGCUGAAAUUGGUUGGAACCAACAUGUCCAAUGGAGUCUGAAUAGAAAGAGCUUGCUGACAUCACAGCCCGAAUUUCCACCACAUUUCAUACUAACUCCCCCUGAAUUUGCAUAUGCAAACCACAAGCAAGCAUGAUCAAACAGACAACUGCGCGUGUCCGAGGACUUUCCAGAUCUCCCCUUUCCUUCCACCAAUCACUUACUAAUCUGAGAAUCCAUCCCCUAAUAAAAUCACUGCCUUAAAGCCUGCACAGGAAGACAAAUUUGAGCUGGACUCAGUGUCUCUUUAUUAGUCGACUUGCAAUAAAAAAGCUUUCUUUUCCCCCCUCAAAAACCCUAUGUCAAUUAGUAUUGGCUUCCAGAGCAUCAGGUAGUGAGCCCCUUUUGCUCAGUAACAGAGCUUAAGGUGAAUAAAAAAGGCAAAUAAUGAUAUGGUUCAAGACAUCAUUACGAAAGCAUGGCUGGAAAACUGCUAGCCUUACCAAGUGCAUAAAAAACAUGAAAAUUAUUUAUUGAUAAGCAUUAGUCAUAAAAGUGUACUCUACCUCAAUUUAAAUACUGCUUAUGUGUGGAUUACACAAACAACCAUGUAUGCAGUAGCUACUUCAAAG